UUUUAUUCGUAGUAAAAUGUGCAACGCCUUUAAAUAGUUUGAAUUUGACGUAGUUUUGUAGCCCAACCAAUCUAUCUCCCAGUGGAUAGUGAGCUGACUGAAGAAGAAGAAGAAGAAGUGGACAGGGAGCAACUGCAACCAAGAGUGGGAAUAUUCGCACUCAAAGGCGAGCAUUUAUUGGAUUUCUGUUAAUUGCGAUUGGCAGUGUUGGAAAAUGUGCCAUAGACGCACGUACACGUCAAGCUUAACGAGCCCAGGACACGCCCAGGACAUAACCAAAGUGUAUUUUGCCAUUUAUGAAGUGUGCGGGCCAAGCCUUUAACUGUGCAGUCAUAAAAGCCGCUGAUUGAAGGCAUGCGACGUGUCCAUAUGGCCAGGAGUUGAACUGGAACUGAAGAGAAUUGAGCUGAACUGAACUGGAGUGAACUGAACGGAAUGCUGAAACUGGGUUGGGCCAUAAUCGUGUACAAGGCUUUAAUUGAAAUCUCGCCGGGCAGUCGUUAGUUUUUCUAUGGCCAUUUCGAGUACGUGCUUCACAGUGAGUAGAGUUACCACUGCCACUCCACCUGGCAUCGUUGCUGCCACUUGAGCAACAGCGGGUGGGAGGCAAACAGACAUACAGACAUACAUAAGAAGUGACCACAGAGAGUGGAGGAAUGCGGGCUGUGAAAGGGGGGUGGCACAGACUGCUGGCUGUGUCUUUGAAGUAUUUUUAAAUGCUGUGUAAUUAGCAAGCAGCAAUCUUUUACAGCGCUGAAUGCAACCCCAAAAUUAUAACGGAAAUAGCCUGAAACUGCAGCCCUUUAUCCUUUCUCCCUCACUCUCUCUCUCCAUCUCUCUUUCUUCGCGGUCUUAUUAUUGUCAAAGCCUUGGGGCGGCGUCAGCGCCUUUGCUGCUGUAGUAAUCUCAAUUUGAGCAUCGCACAACACACACACAUACACGCCAACACCUACACUCAGUAAGAGGAGCUGUUCACCAGCUUGUGGCAAGUGCAUUUCGUUAAUUAGUGUGGAUGAAAAGGCAAUGGAAGGCAAACAAAAGACCGAGACCGAGACUGAGUCUGAGACUCUAACUUGGAAAUUUGAGACCUCUAAUGCCGCCAACGUCACCAACGUCGUCGUCGUCGUCACACACCAGGCAAGAGCUGCGAGUGUUUAUUUUGUGUGCCACUACAUAGCACAGUGGCGCCACCUAGGCUACGUAUAGACAAACAAACACAUGCCAUUAAAGAAGGUGUUUCUCUAAGUGCUGCAAAUUGUAAUGACUGAACUACUUUAAAUGGAUCUAAUGGCCUCUUAAAAUUCCGCAUAUUCAAGUAAUUUUAGAAACAUUCGAAAUCGUUUUAGUUAGAAGAACACCCUUUAUGUGCCAAGUGACUGCAGGAAUAAUAUGCGUGGGGGUGUAAAAUAAAGUAGAAAUAAAAGUCAGUUGCAAAACAGACUUUGGCAAGAAGUUCAAAUGAAAUUCGAGCUGUUAAAAGUGCCAACAACAUUGCAACAAUGCCAACUGCCAACUCUUUGCUUUUAAAUGCCUUUUGAUAUAACUAGUGCACACCUGACGUCAUCCAUAUAUACAAGAGCUAUAGAGUAGCAUAGUAAAUCUAUAUGCAAAUGAUGACACCAGACGUGAAUCUCUAGAGCAGACGUCGGGGUGAAGUACGUCUUGAACUUACCACGAAGUUCAAGCGCAUUACAAAGUGAAGAAGUGUGAACUAUGCGGAAGCCACAUGAAAUCGUGAACAAAAAAUAGUUGAACUUACAGGUUGCAACUUUUAGCAUUUAAUUUAAUUUAAUUUGUGUUUCAGUUACAUUUCAAGG
Molecule: long non-coding RNA, 1817 nt
Organism: Drosophila nasuta
Lineage: Eukaryota; Metazoa; Arthropoda; Insecta; Diptera; Drosophilidae
Exons: 4
Source: RefSeq, a predicted model, not a curated record